This 95-nucleotide non-coding RNA is filed under the name Kocuria flava. RNAcentral describes it as "TPP sequence". It matches the Rfam family "TPP riboswitch aptamer (THI element)". Rfam says of the family: Vitamin B(1) in its active form thiamin pyrophosphate (TPP) is an essential coenzyme that is synthesised by coupling of pyrimidine and thiazole moieties in bacteria. The previously detected thiamin-regulatory element, thi box was extended, resulting in a new, highly conserved RNA secondary structure, the THI element, which is widely distributed in eubacteria and also occurs in some archaea. Analysis of operon structures identified a large number of new candidate thiamin-regulated genes, mostly transporters, in various prokaryotic organisms. Lineage: Bacteria; Bacillati; Actinomycetota; Actinomycetes; Micrococcales; Micrococcaceae. The record is from Rfam by way of RNAcentral.
CCACGUGACACGGGGUGCCGCGAGCAGCGGCUGAGAUCACACCCGUCGAACCUGAUCUAGUCAGUACUAGCGAAGGGAUGUCGCAAUGCGCGAUG